GACGAACGCUGGCGGUGUGCCUAAUACAUGCAAGUCGAGCGCUGGCGGGGGAAGUAGUACUUCUGGAUGACUUGCGCACGGGUGAGUAACGCGUAUGUAACCUGCCUGCUAGCGGGGGAUAACUCGGGGAAACGAUAGCUAAUACCGCAUAAAAGAGGGUGUUGCAUUACAUUUGCUUAAAAGAUGCAUUUCGAUCACUAAUGGAUAUGCGUGCGUUGUAUUAGCUAGUGGGGUGGGUAACGGCUCAGCCAGGCGAAGAUACAUAUUCGACGUGGGAGGGUGAUCGACCCCACUGGGCCUGAGACACGGCCAAGACUCCUACGGGUGGCAGAAGUAGCGAUUAUUAGGAAAUGGAAGGAAGUGUGACCGAGAAACGCCGCGGGAGUGUAGAAGGUUUUCGGAUCGUAAAGCUCUGUUGUAAGAGAAGAACGAAUGUAAGAGUGGAAAGUUAACACUGUGAAGGUAUCUUAGGAGAAAGGGAUGGCUAACUCCGUG
Molecule: ribosomal RNA, 495 nt
Filed under: uncultured bacterium
Lineage: Bacteria
Description: partial 16S ribosomal RNA
Rfam family: Bacterial small subunit ribosomal RNA
Source: RNAcentral